RNAcentral lists this small nucleolar RNA (119 nucleotides) under Castor canadensis (American beaver). RNAcentral's name for it is "Small nucleolar RNA SNORA51 (ENSCCNG00000025210.1)". It matches the Rfam family "Small nucleolar RNA SNORA51". Rfam says of the family: ACA51 is a member of the H/ACA class of snoRNA that guide the sites of modification of uridines to pseudouridines. Lineage: Eukaryota; Metazoa; Chordata; Mammalia; Rodentia; Castoridae. The record is from Rfam by way of RNAcentral.
GGCCUCCUAGUGCUGUGUUCUUAUACUGACUUUAUAAAGAGGAGGGAAAGUAAACCUACUCUAUAUACACUUCAAUCUAGGCCCUGUGCCUGGUCUGUAUUGUGAAUGGGAAGACAUGG